GAUGAACGCUGGCGGCGUGCUUAACACAUGCAAGUCGAACGGAAAGGCCCCUGCUUGCAGGGGUACUCGAGUGGCGAACGGGUGAGUAACACGUGGGUUCUCUGCCCUGCACUUCGGGAUAAGCCUGGGAAACUGGGUCUAAUACCGGAUAGGACCACAUUCUGGAUGGUGGGGUGGAGAGUUUUUCGGUGUGGGGUGAGAUCGCGGCCUAUCAGCUUGUUGGUGGGGUAAUGGCCUACCAAGGCGUCGACGGGUAGCCGGCCUGAGAGGCUGUCCGGACACAUUGGGACUGAGAUACGGCCCAGACUCCUACGGGAGGCAGCAGUGGGGAAUAGUGUACAAUGGGCGGAAGCCUGAUGCAGCGACGCCGCGUGGGGGAUGACGGCAUUCGGGUUGUAUAGUACUUUCGCUAUGGACGAAGCGCUAGUGACGGUACCUGGAGAAGAAGCACCGGCUAACUACGUG
This 465-nucleotide ribosomal RNA is filed under the name uncultured bacterium. RNAcentral describes it as "partial 16S ribosomal RNA". It matches the Rfam family "Bacterial small subunit ribosomal RNA", at positions 28 to 507 of the family's 1533-position model. The record is from RNAcentral.